ACGAUAUGCUUAUUAUUUAUUGAAAUUUUACUGAGUUAUUAUUUAUUAAAAUUUUACUGAGUUAUUUUUUAAUUUUUGUUUCCUAGAGAAAGGCCCAGUGAAAAUACAUAUUUAUUCGAAAUUAGCAGCAGAAUCACUUAAAAAUAAUUGAUGAAUCACUCUAGUAUCUUAGCCACGGCUGGCAGAAUGUUUUUUUGUAUUGUCAAGAUCUAAAGAAAAGAAAAACGUUAUAUAAUCUACCGCCAAUUUUUUUAUAGUACAUAUUUAAAUACGGCAGCCUCAAUGCAAACAGAUCGAACGUCAUCUGCACCUGAGAUAAUGUGAAUAGAACAUGAAUAGAUGUGGGUAUAGCUUUACAUAACAAAUAUGUAUAUCUGUCCGUCGUAAUAUUAUAUGUACAUACCACGGAUGACAGGCAUACAGAUAUUUUUGUUAUGUCAAGAUUGUAAAUAUCUACACACAUAUAAAAUUGACUUCGAAAAUUUUACAAUAACAUGGCUAGAAUUUUAGUAAUUGAGCCUUAUUAUGGUGGAAGCCACAAACAGCUCUUAGACACAAUUUUAGAAGGCAUUAAUCCAAUAGAAUACGAAGUAUUUAGCUUACCAGCUAAAAAAUGGCAUUGGCGACAACGGACAAGUGCCCUAUACUUUUCACAAAUGAUUCCUAUAGAACAUCAAUAUUUAAUAUUAUUUACAAGCUCGGUCUUAAAUUUAGCUGAACUACUAGGCGUCCGUCCUGAUUUGGUAAAGUGCAAAAAACUAGUUUACUUCCAUGAAAAUCAGCUGGUGUACCCCGUACGGGAAGUAAAAGAACGUGAUUGUCAGUAUGGCUUAAAUCAGAUUAUGACUUGUCUGGCAGCAGAUGAAGUGAUUUUUAACUCAAAUUUUAAUCGUACAUCAUUUUUAAAUAAUAUAACACCUUUUUUAAAUAUUCAGUCAGAUUUUAAACUCAAAAAUCUAAAAGAAAAAAUAUCUCCAAAAUGUGAGGUGUUAUAUUUUCCUAUUAAAUUUCAUCGUAUGCCAACUCGUAACGUGACAGGAUCAAAUGGCCAAAACGGUUUAGUAAGUUAUGAAGAAAUAUCACCUUCUCUACAUUUAAUUUGGCCUCAUCGCUGGGAACAUGAUAAAAAUCCACAAUUAUUAACAGAAGUUCUACUAGAAUUGCAAAAAAGGCAAGUUGAUUUCAAAGCAACUAUCUGUGGCGAAAAUUUUGUAACGAUUCCCGAAUGUUUUGAAGGUAUAAAAGAAAAAUUGGGCCCAAAGUUAAUUAAUUUUGGAUUUCUACCAAGAGAUGAUUAUGUAAAAGCCCUGAUGACGGGAGACAUAGUCAUUUCCACAGCUGGGCACGAGUUUUAUGGAGUUUCCAUGUUGGAAGCGGCAUAUUGUGGUUGUAUGCCUAUUGCACCAAAUAAAUUAGUGUAUCCAGAAAUAUAUCCUUCCGAAAAUUUAUACAAUACAUCAAAUCAACUUAUAAAAAUGUUAUACAAUUGGUGUAAAAAUCCGAGUUUGUUUCGAAAACACAGAAAUAAAUAUUUUGAAACAUUUCAGUUUAACAAAUUUUCAGCACAAGAGUUAAUACCAAAAUAUAUGGAAAAAUUUAAAAUAUAAUUAAAAAUUUAAUCUAAGAUAUUUUAUACUUUGUUAAGUUUUAGCAAAAGGUAGGAACUUCAGUUUUCAUGUUAAGUAGAUUUUCAUUUGUAUCACUUCGUAUAUUAAAAAAUUGAAAUUUUGCUAAAUCCAAAAAGAAAUAGCUCAAAAUUUAAAUAUUUAUGUACAUACCUACAUAUUUUACAUUUAAAGCCAUUCAACAAACAUAAUGGUACUAAUGCCACAUACAUAUAUCUCUUAGGCCCCCAAGCUGAAAAUAUUUUCCGAAAUUUUAAAUCGGAAAAAAUACAAAAACAAUUCUUAAUGUUUUAUAUUUUCGAAAUAGGUCGUUUGAAAUAUUUUUUUUAUUUUUUGUUGUGAAAUUAUUGAGUAUUCUAAUUCUCAUUUUAUUUAGUUAUAAGUUUUACAAGCCAUCUAGAUUAUAAUAAUUACCCUUUUUUGCUUUUUUUUUUCAAUUUUUACUACUUCUUAUUCAAAAAUUUUACUCUGUAAAGGGUAAUUCCCUUCUUUUUUUAAAUUUACUCUUCUAUUUGGAAGACUACAAAGAUUGUCUGUGCUAAAAAUUGCAUUUUUUUUUUAAAUGCAUUUUUCAAAUGGAGUUUAUCAACUAAUUUUUUUGUAAUUUAAAUUUUAAAUUUCAAGAAAUAUGUAGAAUCAGUAGAGCCAAAAGUAUUGAUCAAUUUCCUUCACGCAAAUAAAUUCCGACACACCUUCCAUUUAAACUCCAUAUAAAUUUGUUUUUCAAGAGAGUAACUCUUGCUUGAUGGUCUGAUAGAUAUAAGUAUAUGGCAUUAUAUGUACGUACAUAUGAUUUUUUAUAUAUUUUUUAUUCGAUUUUUACAACAUAGGACUUGAAACGCCAAACAGAGAAAAAAAAAGUUUCAACUCAAAUAUUUUUAUUACUUUUUUGUUGCUAGUGAAGUUAUUCUCUAUUGUAAAGGUCUGUCCGGGAUAAAACUUGAAAAAACUUUAAAAAGAGAAACAGUGUCAUUUCAAAGAAAGAAAAAAAAUGUAAUUUCAAAGAAAAAUGAACCAGAAGGAAAAGUUGAAAACUUUUAG
Condylostylus longicornis is the source of this 2666-nucleotide RNA transcript. It is a transcript of the gene named glycosyltransferase-like domain-containing protein 1-like, with no coding region annotated. The record is from RefSeq and is a predicted model, not a curated record. The transcript has 6 exons. Lineage: Eukaryota; Metazoa; Arthropoda; Insecta; Diptera; Dolichopodidae.